This 415-nucleotide unclassified non-coding RNA is filed under the name Hevea brasiliensis (rubber tree). Lineage: Eukaryota; Viridiplantae; Streptophyta; Magnoliopsida; Malpighiales; Euphorbiaceae. The record is from RNAcentral.
AGUAUCUCCUUCAAGAAUUGCUGCUCAUAAAGAAAACACCCCAAAUUUGCAACAUGAGUAUGCUGAAAAUUAAUAUUAUAAUGAACACAGUCAAUGUAACCAUCCUUUUACAUUUCCUCAUAUCUAAUGAUCAUUAUUAGCUUUAAACAAUCAUUGGAUUACGUGUAGUCCUAGAGAGACAAAGGGAGAAAAGAUGGUCCAGGUGCCACUAAAUCAACUAACAAGGCAAUUUCAACCAUUUAACGAACAAACCAUGAUUAAUGCGUAUCUUGUGAUUUCUACAGACAAGUUGGACCAAAAUGCAUGUCUUUUUAAUCAAUGACAAGAACAGAAAAAUUUUUAUGGACCAGCAAGUUAAAAAUAAAGAAUUAAAAAAGGAGAAAGGAAGGCGCACCGCAGGUUGAUCAGUUUCUUG